Molecule: long non-coding RNA, 1364 nt
Filed under: Ananas comosus (pineapple)
Lineage: Eukaryota; Viridiplantae; Streptophyta; Magnoliopsida; Poales; Bromeliaceae
Description: long non-coding RNA (ACOM_LNC020479)
Source: RNAcentral
UAAUUCAUCUGUUCCAUACUCUGAAAUCAAAAUGACACUCAUUACGUACUUGAUUUAUAUAUAUAUUUUAUUUAUUUGUUUGAUACUCUCAAAUCAGGAUAAUAUUUAGGGCAUAUUUGGUUCGCAUAUUUGAUUCAUCUGUCUGAUACACUGAAAUCAAAAUGAUAUUUUGGUUCACAUGUUCUAAAUUACGAAAUAGGAAUAAGAUUCGUUAAUUUUGAUAGUUGUCGUUCCAUUUACAUAAAUUUAAUUUCGCUUUUCAUUUCAUUUAUCAUCUAAUCCGGCUUUGAAUUUCGGAUUGGUUCAUUCUAAGCAAAUCACUAAAAAUCUUUUCUUACAAAUACAUUCCCUUUCUUUUCCUUCAGCACUUUUCUCUCUCUCAAUCAAAAUUUGCUCUCAAAAUUCUAAAUAUUUAUUUUGAUAAUGAACCAAACAUUUUUGAACAAUUUGUCAUUUCAUUUUACAUCUAAUACAAUACAAUUUUAUUUCUCAUUUUAUUCCAAUAAUCAUUAACCAAACAUGCUACUGUAAUUAUAAAAAGGAAUUUUAAUUUCUACUUCUUAAAAAGUCUUAAUAUUCAUAAUUUAAUAGAACAGCGUAUUUAACCUACGAGCUAAUUUAUCUGAGUCAAAAGAUAUUUAACCUACAAGCUAAUUUAUCUUAUUCAAAAGAUUAUUCGAAAGCUGAAUAUAAUAUUUAAUUUAAAUAUUUGAUUACAUCCUUCACUUACUUAAAUAUAUAAAUUUUAUAAAUAAAUUAUUUAAGAUAAUAUCGAAUAAGAUUCAAAUAAGAAUACAGUAUACUAGUCCGUUGGUGCGUAUGUAAUGUCCCAAAAACUUCAAGUAGGGUUUCUUAUUUUUUUAUUUUGGCAUUCUAUAAUUUAAAGUGUAUCAAAUUAGUAUUCUGUGAUUUUUUCUUUUCUUUUCGUCGUCGAUCUCUCCGUUACUUUUUUAUUAAAUUAUAUACAAAAAAUUUUAGAUAUUUACAUAUCUUAUCUACAUAGGCACUGUUUGGUUAGGGGAUAGGAAUAGGAAUAGCCCCUUAUCCCCCCUUUUAUACCCAAACACUAAUUUUUUACCCGAGAAUAGUAGUUUUCGGUUAUCCCCACCAACACCUCCAUUUUUUAUAUAAAACUACCUAAAAUUGUUCUUAUCCUCCGGAACAACCCAAUUUUCAUCCAAACACUAUUUUUCUUAUCCCCAUACUUGUACCUAUUCCUGUAAUAGCUAGUUCUUGCUUAUACCCGAACCAAACGGUACCAUAUAGUUUAUCGGAUAUUUAUUUUAAUAUUUUUUUAGUUUUAAUUUUAUUAUUAAUUUAAUAAUUUUAUUUUAAAUGUUUCUCGGGGGAUGUAAUGACAUGAC